RNAcentral lists this long non-coding RNA (152 nucleotides) under Ursus maritimus (polar bear). RNAcentral describes it as "lncRNA (ENSUMAG00000024484.1)". The record is from RNAcentral. Lineage: Eukaryota; Metazoa; Chordata; Mammalia; Carnivora; Ursidae.
GAGCGACGUCCCCGAUCUCGUUCUCUUUGGAAGCCCAGGCGAGCGCUGAGCUUGUGGCCGGCUCUGGGUUCUUCUUUGAAGCGUAUCUGGAGGAGGGCCCCUGAUUCCAGAUGUCUGUGUCCGCAAGUGAAAAGGCACGUGGUCCAGGCUGC